Molecule: long non-coding RNA, 294 nt
Organism: Zonotrichia albicollis (white-throated sparrow)
Lineage: Eukaryota; Metazoa; Chordata; Aves; Passeriformes; Passerellidae
Source: Ensembl
GAAAAUUUGCCCAAUAAAUCUAAUGACUUUUUUUUUUUUUUUCAUUUUGGUGUUUCCUUGUCGUUUCAUUUAGAUGUAAUCACUGCAAUGGCAGACUGAGGGCAAAUGAAAUUAAACCAGUUGGGUGAAUUAGCUCAGCAAGGAAUGGUUCACAGGAGAGUCUUUAUCUACUCUUUCCACAGACUGUGUGUGCAUAAUUGCAGGUUGCUCUGCCAGCUGUGUUUCCUAGUCUGAGAGAGUUUCCUGGGGUAGAAGAGUUGAUUUCUGAACUGGCAUAUGAGAUAGUGUGGCAGG